GACUAUGUAGCUCAGUUGGCAGAGCAUUGGGCUAGUAUUCCAAAGGUCGUAGGUUCGGUUCCCACCGUGGCCG
This 73-nucleotide transfer RNA is filed under the name Paramuricea clavata. It matches the Rfam family "tRNA". From Rfam's summary of the family: Transfer RNA (tRNA) molecules are approximately 80 nucleotides in length. Their secondary structure includes four short double-helical elements and three loops (D, anti-codon, and T loops). The record is from Rfam by way of RNAcentral. Lineage: Eukaryota; Metazoa; Cnidaria; Anthozoa; Malacalcyonacea; Plexauridae.